Molecule: ribosomal RNA, 550 nt
Filed under: Streptomyces sp. SCAU5002
Lineage: Bacteria; Bacillati; Actinomycetota; Actinomycetes; Kitasatosporales; Streptomycetaceae
Description: bacterial SSU rRNA
Rfam family: Bacterial small subunit ribosomal RNA
Source: RNAcentral
AACGAUGAAGCCCUUCGGGGUGGAUUAGUGGCGAACGGGUGAGUAACACGUGGGCAAUCUGCCCUUCACUCUGGGACAAGCCCUGGAAACGGGGUCUAAUACCGGAUAACACUCCUCAGAGCAUUCUGGGGGGUUAAAAGCUCCGGCGGUGAAGGAUGAGCCCGCGGCCUAUCAGCUUGUUGGUGGGGUAAUGGCCUACCAAGGCGACGACGGGUAGCCGGCCUGAGAGGGCGACCGGCCACACUGGGACUGAGACACGGCCCAGACUCCUACGGGAGGCAGCAGUGGGGAAUAUUGCACAAUGGGCGAAAGCCUGAUGCAGCGACGCCGCGUGAGGGAUGACGGCCUUCGGGUUGUAAACCUCUUUCAGCAGGGAAGAAGCGAAAGUGACGGUACCUGCAGAAGAAGCGCCGGCUAACUACGUGCCAGCAGCCGCGGUAAUACGUAGGGCGCAAGCGUUGUCCGGAAUUAUUGGGCGUAAAGAGCUCGUAGGCGGCUUGUCACGUCGGAUGUGAAAGCCCGGGGCUUAACCCCGGGUCUGCAUUCGAUA